AGAGGUUACUGCUAUCGGUGUUCGCCUAAGCCAUGCGAGUCAUAUGUUCUUCGUGAACAUGGCGUACUGCUCAGUAACACGUGGAUAACCUGCCCUUGGGUCUGGGAUAACCCCGGGAAACUGGGGAUAAUACCGGAUAACGCAUAUAUGCUGGAAUGCUUUAUGCGUAAAAUGGAUUCGUCUGCCCAAGGAUGGGUCUGCGGCCUAUCAGGUAGUAGUGGGUGUAAUGUACCUACUAGCCUACAACGGGUACGGGUUGUGAGAGCAAGAGCCCGGAGAUGGAUUCUGAGACAUGAAUCCAGGCCCUACGGGGCGCAGCAGGCGCGAAAACUUUACAAUGCGGGAAACCGUGAUAAGGGGACACCGAGUGCCAGCAUCAUAUGCUGGCUGUCCAGAUGUG
Molecule: ribosomal RNA, 400 nt
Filed under: uncultured archaeon
Lineage: Archaea
Description: bacterial SSU rRNA
Rfam family: Archaeal small subunit ribosomal RNA
Source: RNAcentral